GUCGCUGAUGUCCAUAAAGAGGAAGAAAUGAGGAUUACAUGUUUGUGGCCUAAGGUUCUUUGAAGAGCUGACUGGUGCAACAACACAAACAUGUAAUCUUAGAUACCUACCCCAGCUCCAUAUUAUUUUCAUGUAUAAUGUUUUGUAACCUUCAAAGCUUACAGGUAAAUGUUAAAAAAAGAAAACAAAUAAAUGGACUUCAUAAUCAUAAUGUGUUCUUGAGAUCUGGAUAGACUUUUGUGUGAUGAUGAUUGAAAUUUUGAUCCAUCAUAGCUGUGAUAUUUGGUUUCUCUCUUGAAUAAAUCCUUCUGAUUGUUUUCUACUUUGCAGCACAUAUUCCUUUGUAUCUGUACCCUUUUCUUAAUACAACAAGUCAAGACCUUUGGAAUAUUUGAGGCUUACAAGCUUAGGUGUCAUCGGCGCCCUCGUGAAGGUUGACGACACUGAAAUUAUCGUUUUUCUUCUUUCGACAGAGAUCAUUCCUCUGUGCUUGCGCACGAUGGAGAUGGGGAGUGAACUAUCAAAAACAGUUAGUGCUUCCCCGAAGCCAGUUUCCAAUUACAUCUUCCCUCAACUUCAUUAGAUUUUCAUGCAUCUAAAUUAUCAAAAAAUUCUUCUUGAUGAUGUGGGUCUGGAUUACAUCUGUACCACAGCGGAAAGGUUUUUUGCAGUAGCCCGAGUUUUAGGUAAUAUGGUCGGUGCACUUGCCGAACAACCUUCAUCAAGGUUGCUGAAACACAUAAUUAGGUGCUAUCUCCGUCUGUCAGAUAAUCCAAGGGCGUGUGAUGCACUGAGAACUUGUC
This is a long non-coding RNA of Capsicum annuum, 803 nucleotides long. RefSeq lists it as uncharacterized. Lineage: Eukaryota; Viridiplantae; Streptophyta; Magnoliopsida; Solanales; Solanaceae. The transcript has 3 exons. The record is from RefSeq and is a predicted model, not a curated record.